RNAcentral lists this ribosomal RNA (464 nucleotides) under uncultured bacterium. RNAcentral describes it as "partial 16S ribosomal RNA". It matches the Rfam family "Bacterial small subunit ribosomal RNA", at positions 28 to 523 of the family's 1533-position model. The record is from RNAcentral.
GAUGAACGCUGGCGGCGUGCCUAACACAUGCAAGUCGAGCGAACCCUUCGGGGCGAGCGGCGGACGGGUGAGUAACGCGUGGGUAACCUGCCCUGUACACACGGAUAACAUACCGAAAGGUAUGCUAAUACGAGAUAAUAUAUUUUAAUCGCAUGGUUAAGAUAUCAAAGCUCCGGCGGUACAGGAUGGACCCGCGUCUGAUUAGCUAGUUGGUGAGGUAAUGGCUCACCAAGGCGACGAUCAGUAGCCGACCUGAGAGGGUGAUCGGCCACACUGGAACUGAGACACGGUCCAGACUCCUACGGGAGGCAGCAGUGGGAAUAUUGCACAAUGGGCGAAAGCCUGAUGCAGCAACGCCGCGUGAGUGAUGAAGGCCUUCGGGUCGUAAGCUCUGUCCUCAAGGAAGAUAAUGACGGUACUUGAGGAGGAAGCCCCGGCUAACUACGUGCCAGCCGCCGCGGUAA